GUAAUGGUGUCUUUAGACACCAACUUUACUUCAAAACAAAUUAUU
Non-coding RNA from Picea glauca (white spruce), 45 nucleotides. Lineage: Eukaryota; Viridiplantae; Streptophyta; Pinopsida; Pinales; Pinaceae. The record is from Rfam.